This 1073-nucleotide ribosomal RNA is filed under the name uncultured marine bacterium. RNAcentral describes it as "bacterial SSU rRNA". It matches the Rfam family "Bacterial small subunit ribosomal RNA". The record is from RNAcentral.
UUACGAUACAUGGCACGCUUGAGACAUCGGCUUAGAGAGUUCGAUCUGAAAUCUGUAAGAAGAUAUGGAAUCGAAUGAUGACGGUCUUACUGAGUCCGAGCUAUUACGUCCAGCAGUUCGGUAAUCGUGAGUGGCGAGGGUUAUCGAUUUUGGCUUAGGUCGCGUUAGAGUGUGUGAAUAAGUCACAGCUAAAAUGGAGCUCACUCCAUAGCGCUUGGAUCCUAUUUACUAGAGGUUAGAAGAUGUAGUGGAAUUUCAUAUGUAGCCGGUGGAAUGCUGAUAUAUGAAGAACACCAUAGCGAAGGCGACUACAGGUCUAUUCCUGACAUUGAGGCAUGAGAGCGCGGGGAGCAAAUCGGAUUAGAUACCCGAGUAGUCCGCGCGUAAACGCUGGGUACUAGAUAUGUCAGUUAAGAGAAUGUCGAAGUUAACACGUUAAGUACCCCGCCUGGGGAGUAUGCGCGCAAGCGUAAAACUCAAAGGAAUUGACGGGAACCCGCACAAGCGGUGGAGCAUGUGGUUUAAUUCGAAGCAACGCGAAGAACCUUACCAAGGUUUGACAUUUACUGCAAAACUGUAGAAAUACAGCCGAGGCUAACAGUAAACAGAUGGUACAUAGUUGUCGUCAGUUCGUGUCGUGAGAUGUAGGGUUAAGUCCCCCAACGAACGCAACCCUUGUUGCUAGUUGCUAACAUUAAGUUGAGAACUUUAGCAGGACUGCCAGUUACAAACUGGAGGAAGGAGAGGAUGACGUCAAAUCAGUAUGCCUCUUACACCUUGGGCUACACACGUGCUACAAUGGCAAAUACAAAAAGUUGCAAACUUGCGAAAGUGAGCUAAUCUUUAAAAUUUGUCUCAGUUCGGAUUGAAGUCUGAAACUCGACUUCAUGAAGUCGGAAUCGCUAGUAAUCGUGAAUCAGCAAUGUCACGGUGAAUACGUUCUCGGGUUUUGUACACACCGCCCGUCAAACCACGAAAAUUGAUAGUUCCAGAAGGUAAACAUCCAACCGUAAGGAGGAUUUUAACCAAGGAAAGAUCAGUGAUUGGGGUUAAGUCGUAACAAGGUAACCGUA